RNAcentral lists this ribosomal RNA (818 nucleotides) under Scolopendra subspinipes. RNAcentral describes it as "partial large subunit ribosomal RNA". It matches the Rfam family "Eukaryotic large subunit ribosomal RNA", at positions 318 to 778 of the family's 3401-position model. The record is from RNAcentral. Lineage: Eukaryota; Metazoa; Arthropoda; Chilopoda; Scolopendromorpha; Scolopendridae.
UUUUUUUCCCCGGGGGGAGAAGUGCAAAGAACUUUGAAGAGAGAGUUCAAGAGUACGUGAAACCGCUCGGAGGCAAACGGGUGGGCCCUCGAAGGUCGAACGGGGGGAUUCAACCCGUCCGCAGGCAUGGUUGCGCGUCACGGAUGGCGAGGCAUCGGGGGUUUUCUCCCCGUGUCUUGCCUUACAGAUCCGAACGUCGGACUGGUCCGUGGCACCAAAGUUAUAUCUUUGCGGCGACCGCGGGCGGGCGCACUUCCCCCUCAGUAGGACGCCGCGACCGGUCGGGUAUCGAAAGAAAAAGCGGCUUUGCAGCGGGACGACGGCAGGUAUCCGUCGCCGGUCACCUUUCUCUCGUCCUUUGUGGCGGGGGAAAAGCCGGUCGGAAUUACAGCUGGUCUCCGCUUCGGUUGCUGCCCGACCGAGGAACUACGUGCCCGCGCUGUCAUGUGACUUCGGUUGCGUGAGACGCGCGGUUCGCCCACCUGGCAGGCUGGGCCACCGGGUACCGGACGCCCCUAGUUUGGCGGUCGGCUAUCUCGUUGUGGCUCGCUGGUGGUCGGGCGUAGCUGCUCUCGUGGUGGCGCUCGUGGUCAGCGGCGAGUAGGUCGGUCGCCCACCCGACCCGUCUUGAAACACGGACCAAGGAGUCUAACAUGUGCGCGAGUCGCAGGGUUGACUCGCAAGUUGAAACCCGAUGGCGAAAUGAAAGUGAAAGUCGGUGCGUCUGACCGACUGAGGCGGGAUCCGUCCGGGUAUCGCUGCAGCUCUCGAGGGGGCUGCGGGAGCCCGGCGGCGCACACGGGCCCGCUCCCGUUAAA